This 1040-nucleotide ribosomal RNA is filed under the name uncultured bacterium. Its description in RNAcentral is "bacterial SSU rRNA". It matches the Rfam family "Bacterial small subunit ribosomal RNA", at positions 8 to 1064 of the family's 1533-position model. The record is from RNAcentral.
AGAGUUUGAUCCUGGCUCAGGACGAACGCUGGCGGUGCGCUUAAUGCAUGCAAGUCGAACGGGCAAAGGGGCUUCGGCCUCGGCGCUAGUGGCAGACGGCUGAGUAACACGUAAGUGAUCUGCCCCGGAGAGGGGGAUAACCCGGAGAAAUCCGGCCUAAUACCCCAUACGUUCAGGUGGCUACGGCCAUGUGAAGAAAGGUUUACGUCGCUCUGGGAGGAGCUUGCGGCCUAUCAGGUAGUUGGUGGGGUAAAGGCCUACCAAGCCGAAGACGGGUAACCGAUGUGAGAGCAUGAUCGGUCAGAGGGGGACUGAGACACGGCCCCCACUCCUACGGGAGGCAGCAGCAGGGAAUCUUGCGCAAUGGGCGAAAGCCUGACGCAGCGACACCGCGUGGGGGAAGAAGGCCUCAGGGUUGUAAACCCCUUUUCUGUGGGAAGAGAUAGGACGGUACCACAGGAAUAAGCAUCGGCUAACUACGUGCCAGCAGCCGCGGUAAUACGUAGGAUGCAAGCGUUGUCCGGAUUUACUGGGCGUAAAGGGUGUGUAGGCGGCAUGGUAAGUCUCAUGUGAAAUCUCCCGGCUCAACUGGGAGGGGUCAUGGGAAACUGCCAAGCUUGAGGGCAGCAGAGGAAAGCGGAAUUCCGGGAGUAGUGGUGGAAUGCGUAGAUACCCGGAGGAACACCAGAGGCGAAGGCGGCUUUCUGGGCUGUGCCUGACGCUGAUACACGAAAGCGUGGGGAGCAAACCGGAUUAGAUACCCGGGUAGUCCACGCCCUAAACGAUGGAUACUAGAUAUAGGGGGUAUCGACCCCUCCUGCGUCGGAGUUAACGCGAUAAGUAUCCCGCCUGGGGAGUACGGCCGCAAGGCUAAAACUCAAAGGAAUUGACGGGUCCCCGCACAAGCGGCGGAGCGUGUGGUUUAAUUCGAUGAUAAGCGAAGAACCUUACCUGGGCUUGACAUGCAUUUGACAACCCAUGAAAAUGGGCUUUCCUUCGGGACAGAUGCACAGAUGUUGCAUGGCUGUCGUCAGCUCGUG